This 468-nucleotide ribosomal RNA is filed under the name uncultured bacterium. RNAcentral describes it as "partial 16S ribosomal RNA". It matches the Rfam family "Bacterial small subunit ribosomal RNA", at positions 28 to 507 of the family's 1533-position model. The record is from RNAcentral.
GACGAACGCUGGCGGCGUGCUUAACACAUGCAAGUCGAACGGAAAGGCCCUGCGUUUGUGGGGUGCUCGAGUGGCGAACGGGUGAGUAACACGUGAGUAACCUGCCCUUGACUUUGGGAUAACUUCAGGAAACUGGGGCUAAUACCGGAUAGGAGCUCCUGCUGCAUGGUGGGGGUUGGAAAGUGUCGGCGGUUGGGGAUGGACUCGCGGGUUAUCCGCUUGUUGGUGGGGUAGUGGCUUACCAAGGCUUCGACGGGUAGCCGGCCUGGGAGGGGGACCGGCGACAUUGGGACUGAGAGACGGCGCAGACUCCUACGGGAGGCAGCAGUGGGGAAUAUUGCACAAUGGGCGGAAGCCUGAUGCAGCAACGCCGCGUGCGGGAUGACGGCCUUCGGGUUGUAAACCGCUUUCGCCUGUGACGAAGCGUGAGUGACGGUAAUGGGUAAAGAAGCACCGGCUAACUACGUG